RNAcentral lists this long non-coding RNA (430 nucleotides) under Triticum aestivum (bread wheat). RNAcentral describes it as "long non-coding RNA (TAES_LNC018081)". Lineage: Eukaryota; Viridiplantae; Streptophyta; Magnoliopsida; Poales; Poaceae. The record is from RNAcentral.
UUCUUCGCUAUGCACUAUUCAUAAGAAAAAGAACUUAGUGCCCCUUUGUUGUAACAGUCUGGCCUAAAUAGUCGGUGAUGACCCCAACCUAAAACACAUUAUGGGAUGCGCUGCAGCAGAGGUUAUCAAAUUUAUCAAGAAUUGGUAGAACAUCAAGUAGGGUUACCAAACUGAAAUUCCCCUUUGUUGUAACAGUCUGGCCUAAAUAGUCGGUGAUGACCCCAACCUAAAACACAUUAUGGGAUGCGCUGCAGCAGAGGUUAUCAAAUUUAUCAAGAAUUGGUAGAACAUCAAGUAGGGUUACCAAACUGAAAUUGCUUAGUUUGACGACCUAAUUUCUGUAAAGCUGGGUUGUUGGAAGAAACUUAGUAUGUUAGCAUCUUAGCCAUGGAACGAUAUGCUAGUGGCACACAAAGUUAAAGACAGGAUG